UAGUUUAUUAAUAAACAUAAUGCUGCUUAAUACACAGAUGGGAAAAAUUCAAAAAAGAAAAAUGAGUUUUGACUUUCAUCAUUUCUUUAUAUGAAUACGAAAUGGCCAUGAAUGUUGUAUCCUCCAGAUUUUGGGGUUCUUAUGCAAAGUUAGAUUAAUCAAUAAACAGCAGCAGACACUGAGCAGUUUGUGUGAUCCAUCAGUUGGUAAGUAGUGGUGUUCCCUCGGUACAGACCUGGCUCUUGCACUCUGCACAGAUGCCUCAGACUUUCAGCCGUGGUAUUUUUUUUUUUCUCUUCCAAAGUAAUUAACUUGUGGAAAUGAUUUACCCUUGAAUGGUUGUCAGAUCAAUUUCUCAUUGGAGGUCUUUGUAAACCUGCUGUGGCACCCGCAGCCUGUCAGAUCUCUGCCAUUGGGCACAUCAGGUCCCAUUUGAGCGGUUUUAGUGUAACACAGUAAUGUGAGCCUUUAAACAAAUACCAAAUUGUUGCAGAUUUGAAGUGACAAUUUAUUGAAGAUAAUAAAUAACUUAAUAGUGAAGGGAAAAUGUGUUGGGAAGGUCUGCGGUAUUGCCAGGUGUGUUUUUUUUAACUUUCUUACCUUUUAAUCGUUAAACAAAAACAGACAAAUGGAAAUUCAGAAACAAUGUGAAAGUUUCCUCGGCUUUAUUAAGAGUUUAAUAUCAAGUUUUAGUUCACUGUUUUAUUUUGUAAAUUUUUCUAACAUUUUUUUUAACAAUUUUGCCAAAUUGAAAGAUGAUAUUGUAUUCAUGCCACUUUCCUGCUUCCUGCAUCGGAUUUUUUCAUAGUUGUUUGUUUAUUGUGUUUCCUUGUGUAUGUCACCUGGUUGUGCUUUUUGUGUUCCUUCCUGUUCUAUUUUAUAACCUUUUCUUUUUUUGGUUGUUUUUUGUCUUUAUUUUUUAGCCUUCAUAAUUGCUUUCCCUGCUACAGUUAGUUUCAUCAGUGUUCUGGUAGCACAUUAGCACAUUAGCACAUUCGUUUUUACGCUCUCCUGUCUCUCCCAGUCUGUCUGUUUACCCUCCACCUGUUUUCUUCCUUGUGUGUUGCUCUUUUUUUUUUCCUUUUGGUUACAAAAAAAACUGGACAUCUGUUAAAUGCUCAGGCUAAACUAUCCAACCCUUUCAGUUAUGCCAUCUACUCUACAUAUUUUAUCAAAGUUUUCUUUUGUUUGCUAAACCUGUCUCUGCUGAAUACAUUCGAGCCCCCAAAUGAUAAAAAAAAGAUUAACUUCUAGUUUAACUUGAAUGUUUGUGCAUCAAAGCUACAAGUCCUAUCAGCAAAUACUCUGUACUCAUAGUUCCCACUUUGGUGCAGAUGAAAGCUUAUUAUGCAUUAAAUUCACCUUACCUUGACCACUCCACUGAUGCUCCACAAGGGCUGAAAAGAUGAAAAGACUUGACUAUGGAUCAUUGUUUGGACAAAGUAAAAAUAUUCUUUGACCUGAACAGAGAUACAUUUUUUUGUUUUUUUCGCUAACGAGUUAGCAUUUUGUUGCUAAUUUUAUUGCUGUUUCUAUUGUUACGUCUUUUAUUUAAGUAGCAUAAUUGAUUUAUCAGUUGUUGUUUUUUAUCACACUUAAAUAUUUUAAAUUUUUUUACGCAAAAAAAAUAAAAUAAAAUUCUGAGGUAGACUAUUCAACAGUUUGCUGCUUGCUAGACAGGCCAGAGUUUAGUCUUAUAAAAUGCAUGACAGGAAAGAUUGAUGUGUCUUUAUUUGGUUGCCUCAGAUGUGCUUGGUAAUUACAGCAUUUUAAACUCUUAAGUGUUUUUAUAUCCUAUGAUGAGCCAAACAAGGUAGCAGUCUGGUCUGUGGGUCUGUAAUUUACCAACACACCACGUCAGUUAUUAUUUUAAACAAAGCUGAUGGCUCUAUUUACAGACACAAGAAUGUUUGCAUUACUUCUUCUAACAAUUC
This is a long non-coding RNA of Astatotilapia calliptera (eastern happy), 1934 nucleotides long. The record is from Ensembl. Lineage: Eukaryota; Metazoa; Chordata; Actinopteri; Cichliformes; Cichlidae.